GUCAUGGAAAUGUAAGAGUGGAAU
This 24-nucleotide non-coding RNA is filed under the name Cricetulus griseus (Chinese hamster). The record is from RNAcentral. Lineage: Eukaryota; Metazoa; Chordata; Mammalia; Rodentia; Cricetidae.